CCUACGGGAGGCAGCAGUGGGGGAUAUUGCACAAUGGGGGGAACCCUGAUGCAGCGACGCCGCGUGGGUGAAGAAGCGCCUCGGCGCGUAAAGCCCUGUCAGCAGGGAAGAAAAUGACGGUACCUGAAGAAGAAGCCCCGGCUAACUACGUGCCAGCAGCCGCGGUAAUACGUAGGGGGCAAGCGUUAUCCGGAUUUACUGGGUGUAAAGGGGGCGCAGACGGCGAUGCAAGCCAGGAGUGAAAGCCCGGGGGCCAACCCCGGGACUGCUCUUGGAACUGCGUGGCUGGAGUGCAGGAGGGGCAGGCGGAAUUCCUGGUGUAGCGGUGAAAUGCGUAGAUAUCAGGAGGAACACCGGUGGCGAAGGCGGCCUGCUGGACUGCAACUGACGUUGAGGCCCGAAAGCGUGGGGAGCAAACAGGAUUAGAUACCCUGGUAGUC
RNAcentral lists this ribosomal RNA (440 nucleotides) under uncultured bacterium. RNAcentral describes it as "partial 16S ribosomal RNA". It matches the Rfam family "Bacterial small subunit ribosomal RNA", at positions 338 to 795 of the family's 1533-position model. The record is from RNAcentral.